CCUACGGGAGGCAGCAGUGGGGAAUAUUGGACAAUGGGCGAAAGCCUGAUCCAGCCAUGCCGCGUGUGUGAAGAAGGUCUUCGGAUUGUAAAGCACUUUAAGUUGGGAGGAAGGGCAGUAAAUUAAUACUUUGCUGUUUUGACGUUACCGACAGAAUAAGCACCGGCUAACUCUGUGCCAGCAGCCGCGGUAAUACAGAGGGUGCAAGCGUUAAUCGGAAUUACUGGGCGUAAAGCGCGCGUAGGUGGUUCGUUAAGUUGGAUGUAAAAUCCCCGGGCUCAACCUGGGAACUGCAUUCAAAACUGACGAGCUAGAGUAUGGUAGAGGGUGGUGGAAUUUCCUGUGUAGCGGUAAAAUGCGUAGAUAUAGGAAGGAACACCAGUGGCGAAGGCGACCACCGGGACUGAUACUGACACUGAGGUGCGAAAGCGUGGGGAGCAAACAGGAUUAGAUCCCCCUGUAGU
Molecule: ribosomal RNA, 464 nt
Filed under: uncultured Pseudomonadaceae bacterium
Lineage: Bacteria; Pseudomonadati; Pseudomonadota; Gammaproteobacteria; Pseudomonadales; Pseudomonadaceae
Description: partial 16S ribosomal RNA
Rfam family: Bacterial small subunit ribosomal RNA
Source: RNAcentral